AUGUGGUUUUUGUCUUUGGUUCUGUUUAUAUGCUGGAUUACGUUUAUUGAUUUUCGUACGUUGAACCAGCCUUGCAUCCCAGGGAUGAAGCCCACUUGAUCAUGCUGGAUAAGUGCUCUUGCUUCUCUAGUUCUUUUAAUUGUGAUGUUAGGGUGUCAAUUUUAGAUCUUUCCUGCUUUCUCUUGUGGGCAUUUAGUGCUAUAAAUUUCCCUCUACACACUGCUUUGAACGUGUCCCAGAGAUUCUGGUAUGUUGUGUCCUUGUUCUCGUUGGUUUCAAAGAACAUCUUUAUUUCUGCCUUCAUUUUGUUAUGUACCCAGUAGUCAUUCAAGAGCAGGUUGUUCAGUUUCCAUGUAGUUGAGUGGUUUUGAGUGAGUUUCUUAAUCCUGAGUUCUAGUUCGAUUCACUGUGGUCUGAGAGACAGUUUGUUAUAACUUCUGUUCUUUUACAUUUGCUGAGGAGUGCUUUACUUCCAACUAUGUGGUCAAUUUUGGAGUAGGUGUGGUGUGGUGCUGAAAAGAAUGUAUAGUCUGUUGAUUUGGGGUGGAGAAUUCUGUAGAUGUCUAUUAGGUCCGCUUGGUGCAGAGCUGAGUUCAAUUCCUGGAUAUCCUUGUUAACUUUCUGUCUCGUUGAUCUGUCUAGUGUUGACAGUGGGGUGUUAAAGUCUCCCAUUAUUAUUGUGUGGGAAUCUAAGUCUCUUUGUAGGUCACUAAGGACUUGCUUUAUGAAUCUGGGUACUCCUGUAUUGGGUGUAUAUAUAUUUAGGAUAGUUAGCUCUUCUUGUUGAAUUGAUCCCUUUACCAUUAUGUAAUGGCCUUCUUUGUCUCUUUUGAUCUUUGUUCGUUUAAAGUCUGUUUUAUCAGAGACUAGGAUUGCAACCCCUGCCUUUUUUUGUUUUCCAUUUGCUUGGUAGAUCUUCCUCCAUCCCUUUAUUUUGAGCCUGUGUGUGUCUCUGCACGUGAGAUGGGUUUCCUGAAUACAGCACACUGAUGGGUCCUGACUCUAUCCAAUUUGCCAGUCUGUGUCUUUUAAUCGGAGCAUUUAGUGCAUUUACAUUUAAGGUUAACAUUGUUAUGUGUGAAUUUGAUCCUGUCAUUAUGAUGUUAGCUGGUUAUUUUGCUCGCUAGUUGAUGCACUUUCUUCCUAGCCUCGAUGGUCUUUAC
Molecule: long non-coding RNA, 1163 nt
Filed under: Homo sapiens (human)
Lineage: Eukaryota; Metazoa; Chordata; Mammalia; Primates; Hominidae
Description: non-protein coding lnc-DRICH1-2:2
Source: RNAcentral